This 253-nucleotide ribosomal RNA is filed under the name uncultured bacterium. Its description in RNAcentral is "partial 16S ribosomal RNA". It matches the Rfam family "Bacterial small subunit ribosomal RNA", at positions 524 to 776 of the family's 1533-position model. The record is from RNAcentral.
GACGGAGGGUGCAAACGUUGUUCGGAAUCACUGGGCGUAAAGGGCGCGUAGGCGGACUUGUAAGUCGGGAGUGAAAACUCGGGGCUCAACCCCGAGCCUGCUUCCGAAACUGCGAGUCUUGAGGACCGGAGAGGAAAGUGGAAUUCCUAGUGUAGCGGUGGAAUGCGUAGAUAUUCGGAAGAACACCAGUGGCGAAGGCGACUUACUGGACACAUAUUGACGCUGAGGUGCGAAAGCGUGGGGAGCAAACAGG